UAUUUGGUGUCGAAUAAUUAAUAAUCAUUCCAAGUAAUGACAAACAAUAUGUUUCAAUUAUUACUAUAGCACCAAUCAAAUAAUCCUUUUCAGCUUUCAUAGUUGAAACAACUUCUUAUAGUUCUUUCUUAACGUACAAAGAUUUAUAGUACUCUCUUAAUAUACACGUUGACGAGUAUUUAAAACUUUAGCUCCAAAUCAAACUGCAAAUCUAUUUCUACUUGAAUCAACUUGACCCACAACCC
Molecule: long non-coding RNA, 245 nt
Filed under: Physcomitrium patens
Lineage: Eukaryota; Viridiplantae; Streptophyta; Bryopsida; Funariales; Funariaceae
Description: long non-coding RNA (PPAT_LNC006888)
Source: RNAcentral